UAGGGAAUCUUCCGCAAUGGACGAAAGUCUGACGGAGCAACGCCGCGUGAGUGAUGAAGGUUUUCGGAUCGUAAAACUCUGUUGUUAGGGAAGAACAAGUACAAGAGUAACUGCUUGUACCUUGACGGUACCUAACCAGAAAGCCACGGCUAACUACGUGCCAGCAGCCGCGGUAAUACGUAGGUGGCAAGCGUUGUCCGGAAUUAUUGGGCGUAAAGCGCGCGCAGGCGGUCCUUUAAGUCUGAUGUGAAAGUCCACGGCUCAACCGUGGAGGGUCAUUGGAAACUGGGGGACUUGAGUGCAGAAGAGAAGAGUGGAAUUCCACGUGUAGCGGUGAAAUGCGUAGAGAUGUGGAGGAACACCAGUGGCGAAGGCGACUCUUUGGUCUGUAACUGACGCUGAGGCGCGAAAGCGUGGGGAGCAAACAGGAUUAGAUACCCUGGUAGUCCACGCCGUAAACGAUGAGUGCUAAGUGUUAGAGGGUUUCCGCCCUUUAGUGCUGCAGCAAACGCAUUAAGCAUUCCGCCUGGGGAGUACGGCCGCGAGGCUG
RNAcentral lists this ribosomal RNA (550 nucleotides) under uncultured bacterium. RNAcentral's name for it is "bacterial SSU rRNA". It matches the Rfam family "Bacterial small subunit ribosomal RNA", at positions 355 to 896 of the family's 1533-position model. The record is from RNAcentral.